UCCAAGACAGGUGGUGCAUGGUGUCGUCAGCUCGUGUCGUGAGAUGUUGGGUUAAGUCCCGCAACGAGCGCAACCCUUGAUCCUUUAGUAGCCAGCAUUAAGUGGGGGGACACUNAUAGUGAAGAACANAGUGCCCAGUGGACAUAACCGUGGAGAGGGAAGUGGUGGGGAAGUACACUUUACAAUAUACUAUCACUAUGGCCCUCUUUAUGAGGCUCGGGGGUCUAAACCACCCUUGUGUCUAAAAAUGGGCUGAAAAAAGAGGAGGGAGAACUCUCGGGAAGGGCCUAGACCAAUAUCUCUCUCCAAAAAUCAAGUCUGUCUUCCAAUUUCCGGAUUUGGUAAUCUUGGGAAUUCCCGCACUUGACAUGGAAACUGGGAAAUUCCUUAAUAAAUUCGCGGAAUUCAAAAUGUCCGGGUGAAUACGUUCCCGGGUCUUGUA
Molecule: ribosomal RNA, 442 nt
Filed under: uncultured bacterium
Lineage: Bacteria
Description: partial 16S ribosomal RNA
Rfam family: Bacterial small subunit ribosomal RNA
Source: RNAcentral